RNAcentral lists this ribosomal RNA (449 nucleotides) under uncultured bacterium. Its description in RNAcentral is "bacterial SSU rRNA". It matches the Rfam family "Bacterial small subunit ribosomal RNA", at positions 354 to 796 of the family's 1533-position model. The record is from RNAcentral.
GUCGAGAAUUUUUCACAAUGGGCGAAAGCCUGAUGGAGCGACGCCGCGUGGGGGAUGAAUGGCUUCGGCCCGUAAACCCCUGUCAUUCGCGAGCAAACGUUAUUAUUUAAAAGAUGAUAGCCUGAUAGUAGCGAAAGAGGAAGGGACGGCUAACUCUGUGCCAGCAGCCGCGGUAAUACAGAGGUCCCAAGCGUUGUUCGGAUUUACUGGGCGUAAAGGGUGCGUAGGUGGUGGGGUAAGUCGGAUGUGAAAUCUCCGAGCUCAACUCGGAAAGUGCAUUGGAAACUACCCUGCUCGAGGGUUGGAGGGGGGACUGGAAUACUUGGUGUAGCAGUGAAAUGCGUAGAUAUCAAGUGGAACACCAGUGGCGAAGGCGAGUCCCUGGACAACUCCUGACACUGAGGCACGAAAGCUAGGGGAGCAAACAGGAUUAGAAACCCCAGUAGUCC